Molecule: ribosomal RNA, 317 nt
Filed under: uncultured eukaryote
Lineage: Eukaryota
Description: partial 18S ribosomal RNA
Rfam family: Eukaryotic small subunit ribosomal RNA
Source: RNAcentral
CCCUUAGAUGUUCUGGGCCGCACGCGCGCUACACUGAUGCAUUCAACGAGCCUAUCCUUGACCGACAGGUCCGGGUAAUCUUUGAAUCUGCAUCGUGACGGGGAUAGAUUAUUGCAAUUAUUAAUCUUCAACGAGGAAUGCCUAGUAGGCGCAAGUCAUCAGCUUGCGUCGAUUACGUCCCUGCCCUUUGUACACACCGCCCGUCGCUGCAACUGAUUGGGUGACCUGGUGAACAUCUUGGACCGGUCCACUCAAUUUCGAGAGGACUGGAAAAGGCCGUAAAUCAGGUACAUCUAGAAAUUGCAAAAGUCGUAACA